UUUUUAGGUUGGUUAGGCUAAGAGAUCGUGAACUUCUUUUGGUUACCAGCAAUGAAACCCCACCCAUGUUUGUUCAGAGGAUUUGCUCUUGAGAAAUGUCACUGGGGAAGCUGCCUUAAAUCAACAACAGUUCUUACACACCAGCAGGCGUGACUUCUCUGCGCUGGUAAUAUGAGACUUUGCCUGUAUCUAUGAAAAUGACGCCUGGAAACUCUUCCAAGAAUGAAAGAUGGAGAAGCCCCAACUCUUCAGUUCCUAAUCAAAAUACUAAAAGGCAGGCAUGAUUCUUACCCAACUUCAUUUAGAGGAAGAAUGGAAAGAUCAGUCAAUUCCGGUUCUCUCAGUUUCUAAUUUUACAAUCUUAAAUCCAGUUCUUCACAUUUU
Podarcis muralis (Common wall lizard) is the source of this 384-nucleotide non-coding RNA. The record is from RefSeq and is a predicted model, not a curated record. Lineage: Eukaryota; Metazoa; Chordata; Lepidosauria; Squamata; Lacertidae.